Molecule: ribosomal RNA, 497 nt
Filed under: uncultured bacterium
Lineage: Bacteria
Description: partial 16S ribosomal RNA
Rfam family: Bacterial small subunit ribosomal RNA
Source: RNAcentral
GAUGAACGCUGGCGGCGUGCCUAAUACAUGCAAGUCGAGCGAACAGACGAGGAGCUUGCUCCUCUGACGUUAGCGGCGGACGGGUGAGUAACACGUGGAUAACCUACCUAUAAGACUGGGAUAACUUCGGGAAACCGGAGCUAAUACCGGAUAAUAUAUUGAACCGCAUGGUUUUAUAGUGAAAGACGGAUUUGCUGCCACUCAUAGAUGGAUUCGCGCCGCAUUAUUUAGUUGGUAAGGUAACGGCUACCCAAGGCAACGAUGCGUAGCCGACGGGGGGGGGUGAUCGGCCACACUGGAACGGAGACACGGUCCAAACUCCUACGGGGGGCAGCAGUGGGGAAUCUUCCGCAAUGGGCGAAAGCCGGACGGAGCAACGCCGGGUGGGUGAUGAAGGUCUUGGGAUCGAAAAACUCUGUGAUUAGGGAAGAACAAAUGUGUAAGUAACUAUGCACGUCUUGACGGUACCUAAUCAGAAAGCCACGGCUAACUACGUG